UACAGAGGGUGCGAGCGUUGUCCGGAAUCACUGGGCGUAAAGGGCGCGUAGGCGGCUUGAUAAGCGUGCGGUGAAAGCCCGGGGCUCAACCCUGCGUCGGCCAUGAAUACUGCCGCGGCUGGAGCACUGUAGAGGCAGGCGGAAUUCCGGGUGUAGCGGUGGAAUGCGUAGAGAUCCGGAAGAACACCAGUGGCGAAGGCGGCUCACUGGUCCGGUACUGACGCUGAGGUGCGAAAGCGUGGGGAGCAAACAGG
This 254-nucleotide ribosomal RNA is filed under the name uncultured bacterium. RNAcentral's name for it is "partial 16S ribosomal RNA". It matches the Rfam family "Bacterial small subunit ribosomal RNA", at positions 524 to 776 of the family's 1533-position model. The record is from RNAcentral.